GUCUACAGCCAUGCUACCCUGAACAUGCCUGAUCUCAUUUGAUCUUAGAAGCUAAGCAAGGUGAGGCCUGCUUAGUACUUGAAUGGAAAAAUCUAGUUUUUAGUUU
Molecule: ribosomal RNA, 106 nt
Organism: Dipodomys ordii (Ord's kangaroo rat)
Lineage: Eukaryota; Metazoa; Chordata; Mammalia; Rodentia; Heteromyidae
Source: Ensembl